RNAcentral lists this ribosomal RNA (323 nucleotides) under uncultured eukaryote. RNAcentral describes it as "partial 18S ribosomal RNA". It matches the Rfam family "Eukaryotic small subunit ribosomal RNA", at positions 1470 to 1796 of the family's 1831-position model. The record is from RNAcentral.
CCCUUAGAUGUUCUGGGCCGCACGCGCGCUACACUGACGGAGUCAACGAGUUGUCCUGCAUCGGAAGGUGUGGGUAAUCUUUUGAAACUUCGUCGUGCUGGGGAUAGAUCUUUGCAAUUUUCGAUCUUAACGAGGAAUUCCUAGUAAGCGUGAUUCAUCAGAUCGCGUUGAUUACGUCCCUGCCCUUUGUACACACCGCCCGUCGCUACUACCGAUUGAAUGGUUUAGUGAGGCCUCGGGACUGGCGCGCUCGAGUAGCAAUACACCUGCGCGCCGGGAACUUGGUCAAACUUGAUCAUUUAGAGGAAGUAAAANUCGUAACA